Molecule: long non-coding RNA, 1301 nt
Organism: Schistocerca nitens (vagrant locust)
Lineage: Eukaryota; Metazoa; Arthropoda; Insecta; Orthoptera; Acrididae
Exons: 2
Source: RefSeq, a predicted model, not a curated record
CAACAAAGUAAUAUAAUUGCUGCAUGAAAAGAAGAGAAAUGCAUAGAAGAAAAAGCACAAACUAAUUCAAAUAUCAUAAUGCGGGAAUGAAAAACAUACUCUCACAAUUGGUGGCAGCAGUGGCAAGGAAGGAACUGCAACAUGGCGGACGUGCGUUUGAGCUUUGAAGCGCGAAAGCAGAUAAUUAAGUGGUGCUGGAAGUUUGAAAAUGUAGCUGUGGUUCGAAGACAGUGAAGAAGUGAGUAUGGUACAGAACCACCUUCAAGGUUAACAAUUACACGUCUACAAGACAAAUUCAAAAUUCAUGGAACAGUGUGUGAUGUGCAUAAAGGUCGAUCAGGGCGACCUCGUACAGCUACAAGUGAUGAUUUGACAACUGCGGUCUUGGAACUGUUUCAGCAUUUGCCUCAAAAAUCAUCAAGGCAAGUGGCAUGUGAGAGUAAUGUAAGUGCUAGUAGUGUGCGCAUUCUGAAGAAAGGCAAGUUUCGUGUGUACAUUCCAAGGCUGGUGCAAUAGCUAAGUGACGACGAUCCAGAUCGAAGGUUAGAAUUUUGUGAAUGGGUUCAGGAGAUGGUGAGGCGUGAACCUGGAUUUAUGGGUAGCAUAUUUUGGUCGGAUGAAGCCCAAUUCAAACUAAAUGGAACUGUCAAUAGGUACAAUUGUGUGUACUGGGCUGAAGAUGAUCCUCACAUUACAGUUGAAAAGACUGUGAAUUUGCCUGGUGUAAAUGUGUGAGGUGGUUUGUCUGCAAGGGGACUCAUUGGGCCUUUCCACUUUGAAGGUACUGUUACUGGAGAAAUGUACCUAACAAUGCUUGCUGACUCCAUAUUCCCUGCCAUUCGUGCAUUAUACGGUAAUGAUGAGUUUUAUUUCCAACAAGAUGGCGUCCCGCCACACUAUCAUAGGGACGUACGAGCAUACCUGGAUCACAAUGUGCCAGGCCAGUGGAUAGGACGCAGGGGACCAAUCGAGUUUCCUGCACGCUCUCCAGACCUCAUGCCGCUGGAUUUCUUCUUACGGGGCACAGUAAAAGAUGAGGUGUACAAACGUAAAUCACGUAACCUGGACACACUUGGAAUGAGAUUCAGGCGGUGUGCACAGAAAUCUCAUUGGACACUUUGGUACGAUGUUCGGAAUCAGUGGUGACUCGUACUCAGAAAUGUAUUGAUGCUGAAGGCCACCAGUUUGAACGUUAAUCACAUUUGCAAAGUACAUUUAUUUUUCCAAUUGGACUUUAAGCUUUCCAUUUCCAGAAAUUUAACAUUGUAGAAUGGGAAAUAAAUUUUCUAUGACGCUUCAAA